RNAcentral lists this ribosomal RNA (248 nucleotides) under uncultured bacterium. Its description in RNAcentral is "partial 16S ribosomal RNA". It matches the Rfam family "Bacterial small subunit ribosomal RNA", at positions 1 to 257 of the family's 1533-position model. The record is from RNAcentral.
UAGAGUUUGAUCCUGGCUCAGAUUGAACGCUGGCGGCAGGCCUAACACAUGCAAGUCGAGCGGAUGAGUGGAGCUUGCUCCAUGAUUCAGCGGCGGACGGGUGAGUAAUGCCUAGGAAUCUGCCUGGUAGUGGGGGACAACGUUUCGAAAGGAACGCUAAUACCGCAUACGUCCUACGGGAGAAAGCAGGGGACCUUCGGGCCUUGCGCUAUCAGAUGAGCCUAGGUCGGAUUAGCUAGUAGGUGAGG